AGAGUUUGAUCAUGGCUCAGAUUGAACGCUGGCGGCAGGCCUAACACAUGCAAGUCGAGCGGUAACAGGGAUAGCUUGCUAUCUGCUGACGAGCGGCGGACGGGUGCGUAACACGUAGGAAUCUACCCAGUAGCGGGGGAUAGCCCGGAGAAAUCCGGAUUAAUACCGCAUACGCCCUACGGGGGAAAGACGGCCUCUUCUUGAAAGCUGUCACUAUUGGAUGAGCCUGCGUCGGAUUAGCUUGUUGGUGGGGUAAUGGCCUACCAAGGCAACGAUCCGUAGCUGGUCUGAGAGGAUGAUCAGCCACACUGGGACUGAGACACGGCCCAGACUCCUACGGGAGGCAGCAGUGGGGAAUAUUGCACAAUGGGCGAAAGCCUGAUGCAGCCAUGCCGCGUGUGUGAAGAAGGCCUUAGGGUUGUAAAGCACUUUCAGCGAGGAGGAAAGGGUGCAGGUUAAUACCCUGUAUCUGUGACGUUACUCGCAGAAGAAGCACCGGCUAACUCCGUGCCAGCAGCCGCGGUAAUACGGAGGGUGCGAGCGUUAAUCGGAAUUACUGGGCGUAAAGCGUGCGUAUGCGGCUUGUUAAGUUGGAUGUGAAAGCCCCGGGCUCAACCUGGGAACUGCACCCAAAACUGGCAAGCUAGAGUGCGGAAGAGGAGUGUGGAAUUUCCUGUGUAGCGGUGAAAUGCGUAGAUAUAGGAAAGGAACACCAGUGGCGAAGGCGACACUCUGGUCUGACACUGACGCUGAGGUACGAAAGCGUGGGGAGCAACAGGAUUAGAUACCCUGGUUAGUCCACGCCGUAAACGAUGUCUACUAGUCGUUCGGGGCUCUUGGCAGCCUUUGGUGACGCAGCCUUAACGGCGAUUAGUAGAUCGCCUGGGAGU
Molecule: ribosomal RNA, 890 nt
Filed under: uncultured marine bacterium
Lineage: Bacteria
Description: bacterial SSU rRNA
Rfam family: Bacterial small subunit ribosomal RNA
Source: RNAcentral